UACGAGGGGUGCAAGCGUUAAUCGGAAUUACUGGGCGUAAAGCGCGCGUAGGCGGCUUGAUAAGUCGGAUGUGAAAGCCCCGGGCUCAACCUGGGAAUUGCAUCUGUGACUGCAUAGCUAGAGUACGGUAGAGGGGGAUGGAAUUCCGCGUGUAGCAGUGAAAUGCGUAGAUAUGCGGAGGAACACCGAUGGCGAAGGCAAUCCCCUGGACCUGUACUGACGCUCAUGCACGAAAGCGUGGGGAGCAAACAGGAUUAGAUACCCGGGUAGU
This 271-nucleotide ribosomal RNA is filed under the name uncultured bacterium. Its description in RNAcentral is "partial 16S ribosomal RNA". It matches the Rfam family "Bacterial small subunit ribosomal RNA", at positions 524 to 794 of the family's 1533-position model. The record is from RNAcentral.